UACAGAGGUGGCAAGCGUUGUUCGGAAUUACUGGGCGUAAAGGGCGCGUAGGCGGUCCCGUCAGUCCCUUGUGAAAUCCCUCGGCUCAACCGAGGAACUGCGUCCGAUACUGGUGGGCUUGAAUCCGGGAGAGGGAUGUGGAAUUCCAGGUGUAGCGGUGAAAUGCGUAGAUAUCUGGAGGAACACCGGUGGCGAAGGCGGCAUCCUGGACCGGUAUUGACGCUGAGGCGCGAAAGCUAGGGGAGCAAACGGG
Molecule: ribosomal RNA, 253 nt
Filed under: uncultured bacterium
Lineage: Bacteria
Description: partial 16S ribosomal RNA
Rfam family: Bacterial small subunit ribosomal RNA
Source: RNAcentral